UUCCGGUUGAUCCUGCCGGAGGCUACCGCUAUUGGAGUCCGAUUAAGACAUGCGAGUCGAGAGCUUUCGGAGCUCGGCAUACUGCUCAGUAACACGUGGGUAACCUGCCCUGUGCUGGGGGAUAACCUCGGGAAACUGAGAACAAUACCCCAUAGUCCACUACGCCUGGAACGGUGAGUGGAUGAAAGCCCCGGCGGCACAGGAUGGGCCUGCGGCGUAUCAGGUAGUAGGGGGUGUAAAGUACCCUCUAGCCUUCGACGCGUACGGGUUGUGAGAGCAAUAGCCCGGAGAUGGAUUCUGAGACAAGAAUCCAGGUCCUACGGGACGCAGCAGUCGCGAAACCUUGACAAUGCGGGAAACCGUGAUCAGGGGACUCCAAGUGCCAGGAGUAAGAUCCUGUGCUUUUCUUUUCUCUUCAAAGGAUUUGGAAUAAGAGGUGGGUAAGGACGGUGCCAGCCGCCGCGGUAAUACCGGCGCCUCGAGUGGUAGUCGAUUUUAUUGGGCCUAAAACGUCCGUCGCCGGUCUGGUGCAUUCGUGGGUAAAUCAACCCGCUCAACGGGUUGAAUUCUGCGAGCACGGCCAGACUUGGGACCGGGAGAGGUGUGGGGUACUCUCAGGGUAGGGGUAAAAUCCUGUCAUCCCGAGCGGACCACCUGUUGCGAAGGCUCCACACUAGAACGGAUCCGACGGUCAGGGACGAAGCCUAGGGGCACGAACCGGAUUAGAUACCCGGGUAGUCCUAGGUGUAAACGCUGUGGACUUGGUGUUGGGAGCUCCCAGAGGGCUCUCAGUGCCGUAGCGAAGGUGAUAAGUCCACUGCCUGGGGAGUACGGUCGCAAGGCUGAAACUUAAAGGAAUUGGCGGGGGAACACCGCAACCUGAGGAUUGUGCGGUUUAAUUGGAUUCAACGCCGGG
RNAcentral lists this ribosomal RNA (916 nucleotides) under uncultured archaeon. RNAcentral describes it as "bacterial SSU rRNA". It matches the Rfam family "Archaeal small subunit ribosomal RNA", at positions 1 to 922 of the family's 1478-position model. The record is from RNAcentral.